Molecule: long non-coding RNA, 1505 nt
Organism: Haliotis rufescens (red abalone)
Lineage: Eukaryota; Metazoa; Mollusca; Gastropoda; Lepetellida; Haliotidae
Exons: 3
Source: RefSeq, a predicted model, not a curated record
UUGCACCAACGUCCAUGUAAUACAGUACGUCAAAUACCUCAAAUACCUUAAUGACUGAAUCAAAAACUGACUGGAGUAGAUCAACUUCAGCAAUCCUCACACAAGCAAAGAACAGAUCGCAGGUACAGAUGUCAAGCUACACCCGUGUUGCUGAUCCACUUUUUUCCGAAAUACGCAUCAAUGGAAAGUACCAGUUUCAAGUCGGGGACGUCAUAAAUGUCUCCAUCAUCCUGAAGGACAGAGAGAGCAGGAUGAUUGUCUCAGGAGGAGAUGACAUCAGGAUAUGGAUGAAAACUGCCAAUGGCAGGAACAGAACUUCCGGUCACGUCAUUGAUCACGGAAACGGAGGUUACACGGGAGUUCUACGAGCAUUCUGGGAAUGACAUCCUGUUUUUACGGUAUCCAUUGCCUGGACAAGGCAACUUCUUAACAUCAGAGACAGAUUGCGAUCAUCAAAUGUUCCGUACACAUUCAUAUAUAUGCUUCCUUUGAAAAGGGGUCUCUAAGGGAAGUAACUCUAUGCAAUAUAACCAAGACAACAGAGAACAUGUGUAAUUAUACUGCACAAAAUGGCGGACAUCCAUGGCUGUGUGAAAGACCUAAAACAAAACUUCUUCCUUGUUGGUCGUGGAAAAGCAACCAAUCGGUUGUAGCUGGUGAUUAUCACACACCUGCUGAGAAACAAUUCAUAAAAAGACAUCCUCCUCAUCAGAUUCUCCGGAGAAUUUCAGCGUCCAUAAGUCGAGGUAACUUUCGUCCGGUAACACGGAUCAGCUGUUCGAAACUACCAGCUAGACAAACAUGGAGGGACGACUUUUCUUCGGGGUACAGCUGACAUGAAAGCAACACGCGAGUCUGGCAUCCUCAACUCUGCCGGUACUCGAUGCAGCAUUCAGUACAAGCCUAUAAGCGAUGCCUAACAAACAGGCGCCUGUGGCUGUAUGGAGAUUCCACAACCAGGCAAUGGUUUGAAUAUAUUUCACGUUUCCUUGGGAAGGAAAUGGUUACAUACAGGAAAUACGAGCCGCAAGUAGCUUUUAUGAGUGAUACAAACAGUUCUAUUUUCUGUGGACCCCAUGAAUUUCCUUUCAACACAGGGAAUGGCUGGACUAAUGCAACAUCUAACAAACCCUUGAAACAAUACCUUGAUAAGAUUCCCAACAACUCCAAGGAUAUUAUUUUGGACCUGAUAUUUAUAGAGAUCAUAUUCGCAGGAAUCUCAGAAGCAUCAGAGAAUUUAUUUUCAGGGGCCCAAAAGCUAUCGUGGUUGUCAAAGGGACAAGCACUUUCAGACGUUUUGAAAGAGAUAAAUUCGGAGACAUGAAUGCUAUGUCGUAUGAUCCAAUCUUGAAAGAAGAAUCUUCUUUGAUCAAGGACCGGGUUAUCUUUUUUGAUUUUAUUCAGAUGACCUUAGCAUUCGAAGUUCAAGGCCUCCAUCCCGACAUGGAGGUGGUGAAACUAAUGGUCCAUCACCUGAUGGGGAGUGUGUGUGGAAAAGCCUAGUG